GACGAACGCUGGCGGCGUGCUUAACACAUGCAAGUCGAACGGAAAGGCCCUGCUUUUGUGGGGUGCUCGAGUGGCGAACGGGUGAGUAACACGUGAGUAACCUGCCCUUGACUUUGGGAUAACUUCAGGAAACUGGGGCUAAUACCGGAUAGGAGCUCCUGCUGCAUGGUGGGGGUUGGAAAGUUUCGGCGGUUGGGGAUGGACUCGCGGCUUAUCAGCUUGUUGGUGGGGUAGUGGCUUACCAAGGCUUUGACGGGUAGCCAGCCUGAGAGGGUGACCGGCCACAUUGGGACUGAGAUACGGCCCAGACUCCUACGGGAGGCAGCAGUGGGGAAUAUUGCACAAUGGGCGGAAGCCUGAUGCAGCAACGCCGCGUGCGGGAUGACGGCCUUCGGGCUGUAAACCGCUUUCGCCUGUGACGAAGCGUGAGUGACGGUAAUGGGUAAAGAAGCACCGGCUAACUACGUG
RNAcentral lists this ribosomal RNA (468 nucleotides) under uncultured bacterium. Its description in RNAcentral is "partial 16S ribosomal RNA". It matches the Rfam family "Bacterial small subunit ribosomal RNA", at positions 28 to 507 of the family's 1533-position model. The record is from RNAcentral.